ACUCAGUGUUUGUUCUUUUCUCAGUCAGUGCAGAUCACCAUGAUCAUUUUCACUGUACUUCUGCUCUCAGCUCUUAAAGGUAACAGAGCUGAAGACGUCAUCACUCCAGACAGAGAUGUUGUUUUUGCUGUUGAAGGUCAAAAAGUUACACUUUCCUGUAACUACAAUGGAACUGAAUAUGGUCUUCACUGGUAUCGACAGUAUUCAGGUUCACCUCCACAGUUCCUUAUAUUGGAAUAUUCAGGGAAUCCUAUUACUGCUACACCUCCAGUUCCUGGAAUAUCAAUUGAACAUGCAAAAAAACGGAAGAAAGUGGAUCUGAUCAUCUCCUCUGCUGCAGUAUCAGACUCUGCACUCUACUACUGUGCCAUGAGGCCCACAGUGACAGGAAACCCACCUACACUGUACAAAAACCCCUUACUGUAGCAAAAGCUAAAACUGACAAUGGCUCAUUAUUUAACAAACCUUAGAAGCUGAACAAUGAAGGCUCAGAAUGACAAUGCGAGCUGAUAUUUUAGCGAUGAUAAAUUAUGUGGAAACAGCAGAUUUGUGCAGAAGUUGAAACAUGAUAUACUGUGAAAAGGACACAAAUGAAUAGUAAUAUCUCCUCUGAAAAUGCAUAUAUAGUAUGAAUAUUCAAACUUAAAACUACAAUGUGUCUGACUUUAUUUUUGUUUCAUUAUACAGUCCAUAUCGAAAUGUUGAAUGUUAUGUUCAUUUCUAACUCACAGUUUGAUAAUGUAUUCUACAUGAUUCUUAAUUCUCUACAUAUUCCAUCCACCUUUAGGACCACAUUUAGGAAAACAGUUCUAACCUAGAUCAGUGUCUAUGUCUGUUCAUUCUCAGGGUGAAUAAUGUUUAUAACAGAGGUGUAAUGAGGGAAACACUUCAAAACUUUAAGGAAACAAAUGCUACAUGAUCCAGCAAUUAUCACAUUCAUGUAAAAGUUCUGUGAAGCCAGCAGGGGGAGACACACACAUUUAAUUCUCAGUAGUUCUGAGCAUGCAUGCAUUUUUAAUCCGUCAAUUCUUUUCAGUCAGGAGAGAUUACAGAACACUGGCUGAGAUAUCUGUGCAUUUGUACUGCAUUAUUGGUAUGAAAGACUUCAUCAAUCAUUUCUCAAAUCAGCCAAUUAUUUC
This is a non-coding RNA of Pygocentrus nattereri (red-bellied piranha), 1139 nucleotides long. The record is from the annotation of a RefSeq genome assembly. Lineage: Eukaryota; Metazoa; Chordata; Actinopteri; Characiformes; Serrasalmidae.